GGACCGAUACAGGCAAUCGCUCUGAGUCUCUCAGAGAGGAAAGUCCGAACACAGGCAGCGAAAGCUGCAGGAAGGUAGCGGGUAACGCCCGUCCGCCGCGAGGCGCGAGGUGCGAACAGUGACGUCAACGACGAAAGUCCGCGACAUCCUUCGGGAUGAACUUCAUCGGAAGGUGAAGAUGAAACGGCAAAAUCCUUACCUCUGUGCAAGGCCGUGCCCCGUAAGGGGAGUGCCGCUUGAGGACAUCGGUAACGAUGCUCCCAGAUAAAUGAUUGUCCGCGACAGAAUUCGGCUUACCGUAUCGAUCCAACA
RNAcentral lists this RNase P RNA (312 nucleotides) under Minisyncoccota bacterium. RNAcentral describes it as "RNase P RNA component class A". It matches the Rfam family "Bacterial RNase P class A". From Rfam's summary of the family: Ribonuclease P (RNase P) is a ubiquitous endoribonuclease, found in archaea, bacteria and eukarya as well as chloroplasts and mitochondria. Its best characterised activity is the generation of mature 5'-ends of tRNAs by cleaving the 5'-leader elements of precursor-tRNAs. Lineage: Bacteria; Bacillati; Minisyncoccota. The record is from RNAcentral.